This 1421-nucleotide long non-coding RNA is filed under the name Lathyrus oleraceus (garden pea). RNAcentral describes it as "Pisum sativum (pea) long non-coding RNA (PSAT_LNC034447)". The record is from RNAcentral. Lineage: Eukaryota; Viridiplantae; Streptophyta; Magnoliopsida; Fabales; Fabaceae.
UCAGUUAUAAGCCAUGAUGGACGAACCUUAAGUCAAACUGGAGUAUUGCUACUGUGCGCAUAUCCAUAACCAAAAUAACAGUAGACAAAUAUCAGUAAAAAAACCUGUUACAAAAAUCAAUACGUGGUUAAAAUAGAACAACUACUGCAGUGAAAAGUAAAAAGAGAGGGUUAUUGUAAAUUCACUACAGACAAAACCUUACCUUUGGAAGGACCACAUCAAUUUGGAGGACCACCAAAUCUGAGGAAAAAUCUUGCUAACGGAAUGAUUCUCCCACCAAUUUGACAGCUCAUGAAAGAGAGGAAAGAUUGAACCUCGUACAAAAACGCUAUAAAUAAGGACCUCCAGGGAUGAAGUAGGGAUCCGAAUUUCUGCGCCGUUACUCUGGAGAAAUCAUUCCAAAACCCUCAUUAAAAAGCUCCGUUUUGAACUUGUUGAGAUUUUCACACCGAAGCUCAACAAGCUCGAGCUAAGCCCCUGUCAAAACCGAAACAAACCCAAAUCGUUAAAGAGGAAGCGAAGAAGACGGAAAGUUCGAGAGGAAGAAAGAACCUUGAAGGACGCUAAGGAUCAUUUACCUCACCUUGCCGGAUUUGAAACGUCGGACUAGCUCCGAUUUGGUAUUUAACAUUUCCCCUUUGCAUGAUUUGAUAUUACCAUCUUGUUCACAUCGCCUCACAAAACGCAAACCCCGUGAUUAUUGCAUAAAAUUGUUGUUACCAUGGUUUUGAUUUUGAGCUGAAAACCCAGGUUUCUGAUUGUGUUUGUUUUCCGAAUCUGGCUCUUUGGAUUUUGCUGGUUUAAAUCUGGGUUAGGAUUGUUUGUUUGAUUAGGAAUUUGGUGGUGGUUUCCGAGUCUCGUGACGGCACCGCCGUGGUUGCACGGUUUGCCUCAACGGUGAGGUGGGUUUUGGAACAGAGGAAAUCGUUUUAAGAGAGAGAGAGUUUAGCGAAGGCUUUUUGUUUAUGCUCACACUUUGUUUUUCCUCACUAAUAAUACAUCUGAUGCUGGGAUAAUGAACUUUUCAAGCGUCUUUUGAAUGAUAACGUUACUGUACAUUCAUGUUUUAAUGCACCAUAUUUUAAUUAUUAUUUGUUUGGUUUUCAAUGCAUAGAUUAAAGGGAAUAUAUUUAUGAACUUGUCGGUUCCUAUGUUGAGAAAUGGAACGACUAUCUUGAAAGAUGAGGCUCCCGCCUCUUUUGCUUUAUUCUUUUUUUUUACUUUAUUAUUUAUUUUAGUAGUUAAUAAAGAUUGGGCCAGGUUUAAAUCCAGUUUUUCUUUCUACAUCAUCUUAAAUUUGUUCUUACCCCCCUGCGAUUUGCAACAAAGAAUAGGUUACUCGCCUUUUGGACCAAACACAAUUUGCUAAUAAGCACCGUUUGUUUAUCUUUCUAAAUAUUUCUUUAAGUUAAGUAAAUAAA